CCUACGGGAGGCAGCAGUGAGGAAUAUUGGUCAAUGGUCGGGAGCCUGAACCAGCCAAGCCGCGUGAGGGAAGAAGGUACAGCGUAUUGUAAACCGCUUUUGUCAGGGAACAAAGGCCGGGACUAGUCCCCGGUUGAAGGUACCUGAUGAAAAAGCAUCGGCUAAUUCCGUGCCAGCAGCCGCGGUAAUACGGAGGAUGCGAGCGUUAUCCGGAUUUAUUGGGUUUAAAGGGUGCGCAGGCGGCCUGUUAAGUCUGCGGUAAAAGCCCGGGGCUCAACCCCGGCGAGCCGUUGAAACUGGCGGGCUGGAGUUCGAGAGAAGUACGCGGAAUUCGUGGUGUAGCGGUGAAAUGCUUAGAUAUCGCGAAGAACCCCGAUUGCGAAGGCAGCGUACGGCCUCCACACUGACGCUGAGGCACGAAGGCGUGGGUAUCGAACAGGAUUAGAUACCCCUGUAGUC
This 459-nucleotide ribosomal RNA is filed under the name uncultured bacterium. RNAcentral describes it as "partial 16S ribosomal RNA". It matches the Rfam family "Bacterial small subunit ribosomal RNA", at positions 338 to 795 of the family's 1533-position model. The record is from RNAcentral.